GAUGAACGCUGGCGGCGUGCCUAAUACAUGCAAGUCGAGCGAACGGACGAGAAGCUUGCUUCUCUGAUGUUAGCGGCGGACGGGUGAGUAACACGUGGAUAACCUACCUAUAAGACUGGGAUAACUACGGGAAACCGGAGCUAAUACCGGAUAAUAUUUUGAACCGCAUGGUUCAAAAGUGAAAGACGGUCUUGCUGUCACUUAUCGAUGGAUCCGCGCUGCAUUAGCUAGUUGGUAAGGUAACGGCUUACCAAGGCAACGAUGCAUAGCCGACCUGAGAGGGUGAUCGGCCACACGGGAACUGAGACACGGUCCAGACUACUACGGGAGGCAGCAGUAGGGAAUCGUCCGCAAUGGGCGGAAGCCUGACGGAGCAACGCCGCGUGAGUGAUGAAGGUCUUCGGAUCGGAAAACUCUGUUAUUAGGGAAGAACAUAUGUGUAAGUAACUGUGCACAUCUUGACGGUACCUAAUCAGAAAGCCACGGCUAACUACGUG
Molecule: ribosomal RNA, 497 nt
Filed under: uncultured bacterium
Lineage: Bacteria
Description: partial 16S ribosomal RNA
Rfam family: Bacterial small subunit ribosomal RNA
Source: RNAcentral